UGGGGAAUAUUGGACAAUGGGCGAAAGCCUGAUCCAGCAAUGCCGCGUGAGUGACGAAGGCCUUAGGGUUGUAAAGCUCUUUUACCAGGGAUGAUAAUGACAGUACCUGGAGAAUAAGCUCCGGCUAACUCCGUGCCAGCAGCCGCGGUAAUACGGAGGGAGCUAGCGUUGUUCGGAAUUACUGGGCGUAAAGCGUACGUAGGCGGUGACUCAAGUCAGAGGUGAAAGCCUGGAGCUCAACUCCAGAACUGCCUUUGAAACUAGGUCGCUAGAAUCACGGAGAGGUGAGUGGAAUUCCGAGUGUAGAGGUGAAAUUCGUAGAUAUUCGGAAGAACACCAGUGGCGAAGGCGGCUCACUGGACGUGUAUUGACGCUGAGGUACGAAAGCGUGGGGAGCAAACAGGAUUAGAUACCCCAGUAGUCCCUGAGCGGGCUGGCAAGGCGCAU
RNAcentral lists this ribosomal RNA (447 nucleotides) under uncultured bacterium. Its description in RNAcentral is "bacterial SSU rRNA". It matches the Rfam family "Bacterial small subunit ribosomal RNA", at positions 355 to 825 of the family's 1533-position model. The record is from RNAcentral.